ACUUACCAGGUCCAGACAUGUGAAGGAUUGACAGAUUAAUAGCUCUUUCUUGAUUAUAUGGGUGGUGGUGCAUGGCCGUUCUUAGUUGGUGGAGUGAUUUGUCUGGUUAAUUCCGUUAAACGAACGAGACCUCAACCUAUUAAAUAGAUAAAAUAAAAAUGAUUAAAAUGAGUGGAAGAGAGAAGUGAUGAUGUUUUUUUUUAAAUAGAAAUAUUUAAAAGAAAAUAUCCAUUUCUUUUGAAUACUUUUUAUUUUAUUUUAGGGAAAAAAUUAAAAUUAAAAACUUUAAUUUUUUCAUUUUUUUAAACUUCUUAAAGGGACUAUUUUGUAUAAAAUAAGAAAUUAUUUUAUCUUUGCGGAAAGCAAAUUGGAAGUUUGAGGCAAUAACAGGUCUGUGAUGCCCUUAGAUGUUCUGGGCUGCACGCGCGCUACAAUGAUUUUGUCAAAAGUAAUUGGAUCAAUUUUGAUUUUAAAUUUAUUUAAUUUAAAAUUUAUACUUUCCUUUAUUGAAAAAUAUGGGUAAUCUUAUAUU
Molecule: ribosomal RNA, 532 nt
Filed under: uncultured eukaryote
Lineage: Eukaryota
Description: partial 18S ribosomal RNA
Rfam family: Eukaryotic small subunit ribosomal RNA (bases 1-432)
Source: RNAcentral